UGUGUGCGAUAGUUUGGCAGUGUUUGUUAGCUGGUUGAAUAUUUAAAUGGCACCAGCUGACAGACAGCUGCUUUCCUAUUGCAUGUA
This is a non-coding RNA of Ornithorhynchus anatinus (platypus), 87 nucleotides long. The record is from Rfam. Lineage: Eukaryota; Metazoa; Chordata; Mammalia; Monotremata; Ornithorhynchidae.